UACGAAGGGGGCUAGCGUUGCUCGGAAUCACUGGGCGUAAAGGGUGCGUAGGCGGGUCUUUAAGUCAGAGGUGAAAUCCUGGAGCUCAACUCCAGAACUGCCUUUGAUACUGAGGAUCUUGAGUACGGGAGAGGUGAGUGGAACUGCGAGUGUAGAGGUGAAAUUCGUAGAUAUUCGCAAGAACACCAGUGGCGAAGGCGGCUCACUGGCCCGUUACUGACGCUGAGGUGCGAAAGCGUGGGGAGCAAACAGG
Molecule: ribosomal RNA, 253 nt
Filed under: uncultured bacterium
Lineage: Bacteria
Description: partial 16S ribosomal RNA
Rfam family: Bacterial small subunit ribosomal RNA
Source: RNAcentral